UUUAACAUUCCAGAAAAUUGGAAACCAGAAUUAAUGAAAAGUGCGGGAAGAAUGAUGAGAGAUUUUAAGACCAACAUCACUAGUGACUACAUCUACCCUUUGGCAGAAGACGGUCUGAUAGAUGAACUCCAAAUCCUUCCUAAGAAAUAUCCAGAACUUGACCUAGAAGAUUGGAGGACAUUUGUUAGCCACCGUUUAUCUCCUGAGUUUAUGGUACUAUUGUGUAUAUCUAUUAUGUAUAUGAUUUAUUAGUUUUGAAAUACUAAUAAUUGCUUAAAAACUUAUUGUUACCUAUUUAAUGUAGGCUUUGCGGGAAGCACAACGUGAAAGAGCUCUCAAAUAUACUUCGAGGCAUCGUACAUCUCGUAGAGGGCUUGCCAAUGUUAGAGAGGACCUGAAAACUGAACUAGGUGUGGCAGAUGUAGAACGGUACCAAGUAUGGAUAAGAGCACGAGAAAAGAGGAAGGUUCUUGUUACAGAUUUGGACAAACAAAUUGAAGCAAGAAUUAAUGAGCUGAAAGAAAAAGUUAGUAGUGGAGAAAUCAUUGCAAAGGGUCGGAAUGACAUAUUAACGCAAGCUUUAGGGACACCUGAGCACCCAGGGCGUGUUAGAGCACUUGGGUCGUUUGCGAAGAUUUCGUCCGUCUUUGGAAGAAAACCAAAAAUAGCAACAGAAAUGGCUGAUGUUGUUAGUAAGAAAGAUGCAGAAAUUGCGAGGCUCAAAGCAGAACUUAAAGCUUUAGAGGAGGAAAAAGCUAAACAAGCAGGUGGGUUAGAUGAUAUGGAUGAACACGACAAUGAUGACGAGCAGAGCGACGAAGAAUACCACACACCGCACAUGCAGGAUGACACACCGUACAUGCAGGAUGUGUUACUUUGUUCGGAUAAUAUUCAUAAUG
Long non-coding RNA from Humulus lupulus (European hop), 899 nucleotides. RefSeq lists it as uncharacterized. The record is from RefSeq and is a predicted model, not a curated record. The transcript is spliced from 4 exons. NCBI's taxonomy places the organism in Eukaryota, Viridiplantae, Streptophyta, Magnoliopsida, Rosales, Cannabaceae.